RNAcentral lists this transfer RNA (87 nucleotides) under Verrucomicrobiota bacterium. Its description in RNAcentral is "Verrucomicrobia bacterium tRNA-Leu". It matches the Rfam family "tRNA". Rfam says of the family: Transfer RNA (tRNA) molecules are approximately 80 nucleotides in length. Their secondary structure includes four short double-helical elements and three loops (D, anti-codon, and T loops). Lineage: Bacteria; Pseudomonadati; Verrucomicrobiota. The record is from RNAcentral.
GCCGAGGUGGCGGAAUUGGUAGACGCGCUAGAUUCAGGAUCUAGUGUCCGCAAGGACGUAGGGGUUCGAGUCCCCUCCUCGGCACCA